Molecule: small RNA, 289 nt
Filed under: Gorilla gorilla gorilla (western lowland gorilla)
Lineage: Eukaryota; Metazoa; Chordata; Mammalia; Primates; Hominidae
Description: Metazoan signal recognition particle RNA (ENSGGOG00000014293.3)
Source: RNAcentral
GCUGGGCAUGGUGGCUCAUGCCUGUGAUCCCAGCACUUUGGGAGGCCGAGGUGGGUGGAUUACCUGAGGUCAGGAGUUCAAGACCAGCUUGGCCAACAUGGUAAAACCCUGUCUCUACUAAAAAUACAAAAAUUAGGCUGGGAGCAGAGGCUCACGCCUGUAAUCCCAACACUUUGGGAGGCCGAGGCCACCAUGACCAGCUAAUUUUUGCAUUUUCAGCAGAGACGGGGUUUCACCAUGUUGGUCAGGUGGGUCUCGAACUCCUGACCUCAGGUGAUCCACCUGCCCU